GGUGGGAUGCCUGAGUGGUUUAAAGGACACGCUUGGAGAGCGUGCGUGCUCGUGAGAGCACCGUGAGUUCGAAUCUCACUCCCACCGCCA
RNAcentral lists this transfer RNA (90 nucleotides) under Candidatus Berkelbacteria bacterium. RNAcentral describes it as "tRNA-Ser". It matches the Rfam family "tRNA". From Rfam's summary of the family: Transfer RNA (tRNA) molecules are approximately 80 nucleotides in length. Their secondary structure includes four short double-helical elements and three loops (D, anti-codon, and T loops). The record is from RNAcentral. Lineage: Bacteria; Candidatus Berkelbacteria.